AGUUAUAGAGAAAAUUCUAAUGCUACUUAGAUGCCAAGUUUGAUUUAUAAUGGUGGCCACUAAGGAAUUGAAGGGCCUAGAGUCAAUGAUUGUGAAUGAACUCAUGGGAUCUCUCCAAGCUUAUGAGUAAAGACUUCACAAGAAGAAGCAAGAUCCGAUAGAACAAAUCCUUCAAAGCAAGCUCUCUUUGAAAGAAGGAUAGAAAGUCCCAAGAAGCGAAAGGAGCAAUAUAGGCUGUGGCAGAGGUCG
RNAcentral lists this long non-coding RNA (249 nucleotides) under Elaeis guineensis (African oil palm). RNAcentral describes it as "long non-coding RNA (EGUI_LNC046699)". Lineage: Eukaryota; Viridiplantae; Streptophyta; Magnoliopsida; Arecales; Arecaceae. The record is from RNAcentral.